UACGUAGGGUGCGAGCGUUAAUCGGAAUUACUGGGCGUAAAGCGUGCGCAGGCGGUUUUGCAAGCCGGAUGUGAAAUCCCCGGGCUCAACCUGGGAAUGGCAUUCGGGACUGCAAGGCUGGAGUGCGGCAGAGGAGACUGGAAUUCCUGGUGUAGCAGUGAAAUGCGUAGAUAUCAGGAGGAACACCGGUGGCGAAGGCGGGUCUCUGGGCAGUAACUGACGCUGAGGAGCGAAAGCGUGGGGAGCGAACAGG
RNAcentral lists this ribosomal RNA (253 nucleotides) under uncultured bacterium. RNAcentral's name for it is "partial 16S ribosomal RNA". It matches the Rfam family "Bacterial small subunit ribosomal RNA", at positions 524 to 776 of the family's 1533-position model. The record is from RNAcentral.